This 832-nucleotide ribosomal RNA is filed under the name Sorites sp. 1678. Its description in RNAcentral is "SSU rRNA". It matches the Rfam family "Eukaryotic small subunit ribosomal RNA", at positions 1160 to 1816 of the family's 1831-position model. Lineage: Eukaryota; Foraminifera; Miliolida; Soritidae. The record is from RNAcentral.
AAGGGCACCACAAGAACGCGUGGAGCAUGUGGCUUAAUUUGACUCAACCCGGGAAAUCUUACCAGGUCCAGACAUAUUGAGGAUUGACAGGCGAUAGUAUAUAAAAUAUAUUUUUAUAUGCAUAAAAAUGAUAGUCCUUUCAUGAUUAUAUGAUAGGUGGUGCAUGGCCGUUCUUAGUUCGUGGAGUGAUUUGUCUGCUUAAUUGCGUUUCAGUAAAUAAAAUAUAUAAUAUAUUAUAAUAUUUAGUUCUGCCUUUAUGGAUUUAAAGUGAACAUAUUAUAUAUAUUAUUAUAUAAUAAAUGAAUGCAACGAACGUGACCGUAACCUUUUAUUGCUAUUCUUUUAUUAUAAUUAUAGCAUAAAAUUAAAGGAACCGCUGUCAUUACUAAAUAUGUGUUAAAAUAGAGUAAGAUUAUGGCAAUAACAGGUCUGUGAUGCCCUCAGAUGUUCUGGGCUGCACACGUGCUACAAUAAUUACAUUAAUAAGUAUAUAUACUUUAUAAUAUAUAAUAUUAUAUUUAACCUAUUUCGAAAGUAAAUCGGUAAUCAUUUAAAAAUCGUGAUUAAACUAAAUAUAUAAUUAAUUUAAGGUGGGGAUAGUGUAUUGUUAAUUAUUACACUUGGCCUUAACUAGGAAUGCCUUGUACUCUUCUUUGGUUUAACAUACCAAGAGGAAUACGUCCCUGCCCUUUGUACACACCGCCCGUCGCUCUUACCGAUGAAUUAUAUUAUAAAUCUAAGGGAUUUAUUAUAAUUAAAAUAUAAAAAACUUAUAUACAUAAUGUGAUUUAAAGGAAAGAGAAGUCGUAACAAGGCAUCAGUAGGUGAACCU